AGUGUUACGCCGGCUGAACGGAAAUCAUUGAUGUUGAUUAUUACGGGAUUAAUGUAUCUCUGGCACUA
Molecule: transfer RNA, 68 nt
Filed under: Aporrhais serresiana
Lineage: Eukaryota; Metazoa; Mollusca; Gastropoda; Littorinimorpha; Aporrhaidae
Description: tRNA-Ile
Source: RNAcentral